CCAGCUCUCUUUGCCUUUUGGCUUAGAUCAAGUGUAGUAUCUGUUCUUUUCAGUUUAAUCUCUGAAAGUGUUCGAAGGAACACAACAUUGAUUAUCUCAUCUUUGGAUCUCGCAGCAGGACCCCUGUGCUUGCACAUGCCUAGCUGCACAGUGUCCUCGGUCUAGCACUAUCACCGAGCGACGCGAAGCCGU
This 192-nucleotide small nuclear RNA is filed under the name Talaromyces islandicus. Its description in RNAcentral is "Penicillium islandicum U2 spliceosomal RNA". It matches the Rfam family "U2 spliceosomal RNA". From Rfam's summary of the family: U2 is a small nuclear RNA (snRNA) component of the spliceosome (involved in pre-mRNA splicing). Complementary binding between U2 snRNA (in an area lying towards the 5' end but 3' to hairpin I) and the branchpoint sequence (BPS) of the intron results the bulging out of an unpaired adenosine, on the BPS, which initiates a nucleophilic attack at the intronic 5' splice site, thus starting the first of two transesterification reactions that mediate splicing. The record is from Rfam by way of RNAcentral. Lineage: Eukaryota; Fungi; Ascomycota; Eurotiomycetes; Eurotiales; Trichocomaceae.